UGGGCAGAGUUGCUUCCAGGUCUGUCUCCC
RNAcentral lists this non-coding RNA (30 nucleotides) under Mus musculus (house mouse). The record is from RNAcentral. Lineage: Eukaryota; Metazoa; Chordata; Mammalia; Rodentia; Muridae.